RNAcentral lists this transfer RNA (72 nucleotides) under Hypoxylon fragiforme. RNAcentral describes it as "tRNA-Met". It matches the Rfam family "tRNA". From Rfam's summary of the family: Transfer RNA (tRNA) molecules are approximately 80 nucleotides in length. The record is from RNAcentral. Lineage: Eukaryota; Fungi; Ascomycota; Sordariomycetes; Xylariales; Hypoxylaceae. RNAcentral also lists the same sequence under 13 other names.
AGCUCUGUGGCGCAGCGGAAGCGCGCCGGGCUCAUAACCCGGAGGUCCUCCGAUCGAAACGGAGCAGAGCUA